Molecule: transfer RNA, 25 nt
Filed under: Salvelinus alpinus alpinus
Lineage: Eukaryota; Metazoa; Chordata; Actinopteri; Salmoniformes; Salmonidae
Also listed under: 2 other names
Description: partial tRNA-Pro
Source: RNAcentral
CAGAGGGUAGUUUAAUUUAGAAUCU